Molecule: microRNA, 24 nt
Filed under: Ananas comosus (pineapple)
Lineage: Eukaryota; Viridiplantae; Streptophyta; Magnoliopsida; Poales; Bromeliaceae
Description: microRNA s1132_c006b
Source: RNAcentral
AUUGAGGUUUUAUAGCAGCCCCAG